GACGGAGCGGCGAACGGGUGAGUAACACGUGAGCAACCUGCCCCACAGAUCGGGAUAGCCCAGGGAAACCUGGAUUAAUACCGGAUGCCCCCGGNGGNUCGCAUGAUCUAUCGAGGAAAUACCUUUGUGCUGUGGGAUGGGCUCGCGACUUAUCAGCUAGUUGGUGGGGUAACGGCCUACCAAGGCGUCGACGAGUAGCUGGUCUGAGAGGACGAUCAGCCACACUGGGACUGAGACACGGCCCAGACUCCUACGGGAGGCAGCAGCAGGGAAUCUUGCGCAAUGGGCGAAAGCCUGACGNAGCAACGCCGCGUGGGGGAUGAAGGCCUUCGGGUUGUAAACCCCUUUCAGGAGGGAAGAAAUUGACGGUACCUCCAGAAGAAGCACCGGCCAACUACGUGCCAGCAGCCGCGGUAAUACGUAGGGUGCAAGCGUUAUCCGGAAUCAUUGGGCGUAAAGAGCUCGUAGGCGGUUCAGCAAGUCGGCUGUGAAAGUUCGAGGCUCAACCUCGAAAUUGCAGUCGAUACUGCUGUGACUCGAGUCCGGUAGAGGAGAAUGGAAUUCCCGGUGUAGCGGUGAAAUGCGCAAAUAUCGGGAGGAACACCAGUAGCGAAGGCGGUUCUCUGGGCCGGCACUGACGCUGAGGAACGAAAGCGUGGGGAGCAAACAGGAUUAAAUACCCUGGUAAUCCACCCCGUAAACGUUGGAUGCUAGGUGUGGCGGUCUAACCAACGACUGCCGUGCCGAAGCUAACGCAUUAAGCAUCCCGCCUGGGGAAUACGGCCGCAAGGCUAAAACUCAAAGGAAUUGACGGGUCCCCGCACAAGCGGCGGAGCAUGCGGCUUAAUUCGAUGCAACCCGAAGAACCUUACCUGGGUUUGACAUCGCGGGAAAAGCUGUAGAAAUACAGUGUCCAUUAGGGCCCGUGACAGGUGGUGCAUGGCUGUCGUCAGCUCGUGUCGUGAGAUGUUGGGUUAAGUCCCGCAACGAGCGCAACCCUUGUCCUAUGUUGCCAGCGGUUCGGCCGGGGACUCAUAGGAGACUGCCGGGGAUAACUCGGAGGAAGGCGGGGACGACGUCAAGUCAUCAUGCCCCUUAUGUUCAGGGCUGCACGCAUGCUACAAUGGGUGGUACAACGGGCUGCGAUCCCGCAAGGGUGAGCGAAUCCCUCAAACCAUCCUCAGUUCGGAUUGAAGUCUGCACUCGACUUCAUGAACCCGAGUCGCUAGU
RNAcentral lists this ribosomal RNA (1230 nucleotides) under uncultured bacterium. RNAcentral describes it as "bacterial SSU rRNA". It matches the Rfam family "Bacterial small subunit ribosomal RNA", at positions 89 to 1339 of the family's 1533-position model. The record is from RNAcentral.